GACGAACGCUGGCGGCGUGCUUAACACAUGCAAGUCGAACGGAAAGGCCCUGCUUUUGUGGGGUGCUCGAGUGGCGAACGGGUGAGUAACACGUGAGUAACCUGCCCUUGACUUUGGGAUAACUUCAGGAAACUGGGGCUAAUACCGGAUAGGAGCUCCUGCUGCAUGGUGGGGGUUGGAAAGUUUCGGCGGUUGGGGAUGGACUCGCGGCUUAUCAGCUUGUUGGUGGGGUAGUGGCUUACCAAGGCUUUGACGGGUAGCCGGCCUGAGAGGGUGACCGGCCACAAUGGGACUGAGAUACGGCCCAGAGUCCUACGGGAGGCAGCAGUGGGGAAUAUUGCACAAUGGGCGGAAGCCUGAUGCAGCAACGCCGCGUGCGGGAUGACGGCCUUCGGGUUGUAAACCGCUUUCGCCUGUGACGAAGCGUGAGUGACGGUAAUGGGUAAAGAAGCACCGGCUAACUACGUG
This 468-nucleotide ribosomal RNA is filed under the name uncultured bacterium. RNAcentral's name for it is "partial 16S ribosomal RNA". It matches the Rfam family "Bacterial small subunit ribosomal RNA", at positions 28 to 507 of the family's 1533-position model. The record is from RNAcentral.